GGGGCGCCGCUUCGGGAGAGCGGGCAGUUCUAGGAGGCCGACCUGGAGAGCCUCCCGGUUCCCCUUCCCCUCUUCCCGGACCCCGCGGGGACACCCCCUCGCCGCCACCCGGGCCUCCCCGAGGGCCCAAUUGCGGGUCAGGCGGCUCGGGCCAGCCGAAAGGGAAGUGGGGCUACCCCACAGCCAGGCAGCGGGGCUGGGGUCAGACCCGGGAGCCGGAGGUUGGAGACGUGCGACGACAGUCACCUGCGGGCAGAUUCCAGAGGGGAGACCCAGGGCUGCAGGGGACUCCCCUUCGUGGCAGCUACCCAGCCUCGGCCCACUGCCAGUGUUACGUGGCUGCAUGACCAUACACUUCUGGGUAGAGCCCAGUGGAAGACAAAGAAGACUCAAGGAAUAGCCCUUGAGAUCCUGAACCAACUUUGAAGGCAGAGAAGUGGGCUAGAAGAAGUGGGGUUGGAGCCUCCACCAAGGACAAGAAGACCAGAAGAUGCAGGCUACUGUGGGCACAAUGCCUAUGAAUUAGCCCUGCUCUGCAAGAAGCAGCCAAAAAAAAAAAAAAAGAUGCAGAGUGGUGGCGUGUGCACAGCUGAAUGCAGUCUGUAGACGCAGUAGCUGUGUGGCCUGUACAGAAUUAAAACAAUUUGUGAGACAACAUUAAAAAAAUCUGGAAAUUUCACAUCUACAUUUGAAUCUGGAGCUUUCCUUAGAAAAACGGGACACUCUGGUAGCAGUGGACCACGUUCUGGCACAUCCCCGUUGGCCCUUCAAGUGGGGCAUGGGCUCCCCAGGUCAGCACAGGCCCACCCUCCAGGGUGACCACCCUCCCCUUCCUUCCCUUCCCUGCCAGGGUCUGCAGGCAUUGAGGCAGCAACUCAGCCUGACCUCUGCCUCUCCCAAGCUAAAGGGCAAGGAAGGCUAUGGACUUUGGGGCAUUUAUUUUGAGUCUCUUUCCUAAAUUCGAGGAGACUGGAAAUAAAUCAAGCCUGGCCAGGAGGAGGAGUCCAGCUCUUCCUGUCCCACUGGCCCUUCCCUCUUGGGCCUCAUCUU
This is a long non-coding RNA of Gorilla gorilla gorilla (western lowland gorilla), 1050 nucleotides long. RefSeq lists it as uncharacterized. The record is from RefSeq and is a predicted model, not a curated record. The transcript is spliced from 4 exons. Lineage: Eukaryota; Metazoa; Chordata; Mammalia; Primates; Hominidae.